GGAUAUGAGGAUGAUCUGGCUGUAACAUCUGUCAACCCAUUGAUCACCAGGGUUGAUUCAACUGAUCUGGCUGGCUAGGCCAGUUUCCCCUUCCUCCCUCAAGGCUCCACGUGCGUUCCUUCUGAAGUGGCGCGCUCCGUUGAAGAGGACGACCACCCCCGAUAGAGGAGGACUGUUCCUCGGUCAAGGGUAUAUGAGUAGCUGUGCUCCUCUGCUAGAACCUCCAAACAAGAUCUCAAAAAGCCUGGACUGUUUCUCUCCCUAUUCUUUGAUU
RNAcentral lists this small RNA (274 nucleotides) under Chinchilla lanigera (long-tailed chinchilla). RNAcentral describes it as "7SK RNA (ENSCLAG00000022166.1)". It matches the Rfam family "7SK RNA", at positions 1 to 251 of the family's 331-position model. From Rfam's summary of the family: 7SK was discovered as an abundant small nuclear RNA in the mid-70s but a possible function has only recently been suggested. Two independent studies have found that 7SK RNA binds the CDK9/cyclin T complex (known as elongation factor P-TEFb). The record is from Rfam by way of RNAcentral. Lineage: Eukaryota; Metazoa; Chordata; Mammalia; Rodentia; Chinchillidae.